This 338-nucleotide ribosomal RNA is filed under the name uncultured eukaryote. Its description in RNAcentral is "partial 18S ribosomal RNA". It matches the Rfam family "Eukaryotic small subunit ribosomal RNA", at positions 1470 to 1796 of the family's 1831-position model. The record is from RNAcentral.
CCCUUAGAUGUUCGGGGCCGCACGCGCGCUACACUGAAGGAGUCAGAGGGCCUAGUACCUGUCGGACACGGCCGGUUAACCCGUGCAGAAACUCCUUCGUGCUUGGGACUGGGGCUUGAAAUUCUUGCCCAUGAACGAGGAAUUCCCAGUAAGCGCGAGUCAUCAGCUCGUGUUGAUUACGUCCCUGCCCUUUGUACACACCGCCCGUCGCUACUACCGAUGAACGGUUCAGUGAGGCCCUCGGAAGUCCCCCGGGCUGGUGGGUUCCCUGCCAGCUGUCUGGUUGCGGACCGAAGACGGUCGAACUCAAUCAUUUAGAGGAAGUAAAAGUCGUAACA